RNAcentral lists this ribosomal RNA (503 nucleotides) under uncultured bacterium. Its description in RNAcentral is "partial 16S ribosomal RNA". It matches the Rfam family "Bacterial small subunit ribosomal RNA", at positions 30 to 523 of the family's 1533-position model. The record is from RNAcentral.
AUUGAACGCUGGCGGCAGGCUUAACACAUGCAAGUCGAGCGGGGUGAUGGUGCUUGCACUAUCACUUAGCGGCGGACGGGUGAGUAAUGCUUAGGAAUCUGCCUAUUAGUGGGGGACAACAUCUCGAAAGGGAUGCUAAUACCGCAUACGUUCUACGGGAGAAAGCAGGGGAUCACUUGUGACCUUGCGCUAAUAGAUGAGCCUAAGUCGGAUUAGCUAGUUGGUGGGGUAAAGGCCUACCAAGGCGACGAUCUGUAGCGGGUCUGAGAGGAUGAUCCGCCACACUGGGACUGAGACACGGCCCAGACUCCUACGGGAGGUAGCAGUGGGGAAUAUUGGACAAUGGGGGGAACCCUGAUCCAGCCAUGCCGCGUGUGUGAAGAAGGCCUUAUGGUUGUAAAGCACUUUAAGCGAGGAGGAGGCUUACCUAGUUAAUACCUGGGAUAAGUGGACGUUACUCGCAGAAUAAGCACCGGCUAACUCUGUGCCAGCCGCCGCCGUAA